UGCAAGUCGACGAACUUCCGUUAAUUGAUUAUGACGUACUUGUACUGAUUGAGAUUUUAACACGAAGUGAGUGGCGAACGGGUGAGUAACACGUGGGUAACCUGCCCAGAAGUAGGGGAUAACACCUGGAAACAGAUGCUAAUACCGUAUAACAGAGAAAACCGCAUGGUUUUCUUUUAAAAGAUGGCUCUGCUAUCACUUCUGGAUGGACCCGCGGCGUAUUAGCUAGUUGGUGAGGUAAAGGCUCACCAAGGCAGUGAUACGUAGCCGACCUGAGAGGGUAAUCGGCCACAUUGGGACUGAGACACGGCCCAGACUCCUACGGGAGGCAGCAGUAGGGAAUCUUCCACAAUGGACGCAAGUCUGAUGGAGCAACGCCGCGUGAGUGAAGAAGGGUUUCGGCUCGUAAAGCUCUGUUGUUAAAGAAGAACGUGGGUAAGAGUAACUGUUUACCCAGUGACGGUAUUUAACCAGAAAGCCACGGCUAACUACGUGCCAGCAGCCGCGGUAAUACGUAGGUGGCAAGCGUUAUCCGGAUUUAUUGGGCGUAAAGCGAGCGCAGGCGGUCUUUUAAGUCUAAUGUGAAAGCCUUCGGCUCAACCGAAGAAGUGCAUUGGAAACUGGGAGACUUGAGUGCAGAAGAGGACAGUGGAACUCCAUGUGUAGCGGUGAAAUGCGUAGAUAUAUGGAAGAACACCAGU
RNAcentral lists this ribosomal RNA (701 nucleotides) under Pediococcus acidilactici. RNAcentral describes it as "bacterial SSU rRNA". It matches the Rfam family "Bacterial small subunit ribosomal RNA", at positions 56 to 713 of the family's 1533-position model. The record is from RNAcentral. Lineage: Bacteria; Bacillati; Bacillota; Bacilli; Lactobacillales; Lactobacillaceae.